GUGGGGGGGGGGGGUCCCCGAUAUGACAGAACCUGCCCCCACCCUGUCCCUGGACCCCGUCCUCACCCUGACCAGCCAGCAGACGACCGCUUUAUGCAAAAUGGAGAAAUGCUAAAUGGAGACGGACGCCUCUUCCGUCUCCAUCAUUGGCCAAGGGUUCCCGGAAGCUCCACGUGGAAUAAAGACCCCCGAGGCCCCCACGGUGUCUUGCCUGAAGUCUCUCAGCCAGAGGCCAAGCCAGGACUCGCCGUUACUGAGUGCCUCCUGCAUGCCCAUAUUGCAAUAAUCUUAUGUAACUGUCACAACAGCCCUAGACAAGGAACUGAGACUCAGAGAGGUUAGGGAACACGUCCCAGGUCACACAGCCCAGUAUGUGGCAGAACAGGGAAUCAAACCAGCUCUGCCUAGGCUCACCAGCUUCCAUUCUGUUCACAUGAAAAUAUUAAAACUCGCAUCU
Long non-coding RNA from Neofelis nebulosa (Clouded leopard), 457 nucleotides. RefSeq lists it as uncharacterized. The record is from RefSeq and is a predicted model, not a curated record. NCBI's taxonomy places the organism in Eukaryota, Metazoa, Chordata, Mammalia, Carnivora, Felidae. The transcript has 2 exons.